Molecule: ribosomal RNA, 521 nt
Filed under: uncultured bacterium
Lineage: Bacteria
Description: bacterial SSU rRNA
Rfam family: Bacterial small subunit ribosomal RNA
Source: RNAcentral
AGAGUUUGAUCCUGGCUCAGAUUAAACGCUGGCGGCAUGCCUUACACAUGCAAGUCGAACGGUAACGCGGGGGCAACCCUGGCGACGAGUGGCGAACGGGUGAGUAAUACAUCGGAACAUAUCCAGUAGCGGGGGAUAACCUAUCGAAAGAUGGACUAAUACCGCAUACGAUCUACGGAUGAAAGCAGGGGACCGCAAGGCCUUGCACUAUUGGAGUGGCCGAUGUCGGAUUAGCUAGUUGGUGGGGUAAAAGCUUACCAAGGCGACGAUCCGUAGCUGGUCUGAGAGGACGAUCAGCCACACUGGAACUGAGACACGGUCCAGACUCCUACGGGAGGCAGCAGUGGGGAAUUUUGGACAAUGGGGGCAACCCUGAUCCAGCCAUGCCGCGUGAGUGAAGAAGGCCUUCGGGUUGUAAAGCUCUUUCGGUGAAGACGAAACGGUUAGUGUUAAUAACACUGACUAAUGACGGUACUCACAGAAGAAGCACCGGCUAACUACGUGCCAGCAGCCGCGGUAAU